AUCAGCAUUUUUAAGUCUACGGUAAUGCGAAUUUUAAACAAUUAUAGCAGCCUUUCGGAGUCGGAUUUAAUGAGCUUAUUAUUUAUGGAACCAGUAUUUUUGAUGACUUUGAAUUGGAUCACACCAAUUUUUUGUUAUUAUAAAUAUAGUGAUAAGGAAAUUGUAUACAAAUAGGUAUUGUAUGUAUGGUAUAUGCGUGUAAAGCAUCCAAAUUGCACAUAAAAGACUAAAUUUGCAAACGCUUCUUUUUGAUUAUAAAAUGUCGAACGACUUCGAACAAACUUUAGUAAAGAUUUGGAAAUCUAUUGGCAAAGUUGAGGCACAAUUUUUCUCUCAACAAAUAACAAAGUCAAAAAAAUUCUAUAAAAAUGAAAUUCUUGUGCUAUUUCUUGAUUAUCGUGUACAUUAGCAUAGUAACCACAGAUCAUCAACGUAUAGAUGUUCCAGACCCCAAUUAUCGUUCCUUUAUUACAAAAACAAUACCAAUCUGCCUUACAAAUCAUCGCGGAGAGUGCGUUGAAUAUUAUCACCGUGCAAGGAAUAAUCGAAGAACCACACUCAACCAAUUAAAACACACAUAGGAUUAUGUCGCAAUAUUAAGUGUUAUAUCAUUUGUGUAACAAAAUUAUAAAAAAGAAAAAAUAAAAAUAAAAAUAAUUUGGCGUUUUUAAACUCAAGUGAAUUCCUUUGUUAAAAUUCCUGAAACUUUUUUAAAGACACCUCACAGAGAUAUUUUGUUAUUUUCAUUAAAUGGGCUUAUUAAAAUUAAGGAAACAAUGAGGUGAUAGCUUUCUUGUUUUUUUUUUUUUCAACAAUAUACAACGGUGAAACAUAUUUGUAUUUGAAAGCUUUGGUGCAGUUGAGUCAAAGUUUGUGUGUGUCUCUCGAAAAACCAAAAGCAAAAAAAUAUUUUCCAUACCAGAAUUUUAUUUCUAUCGUUCAGUUUGUAUGGCAGAAAUAUGCUAUAAUGAUCCGAUUGGAAAUUUUUUUGGGUUUUGUAAUAAUGCAUUGAAUAAUAAUUCAUUUAGUUAAAAUAGUUUUUCAAACAAAACUUAAUUUCGAUCGUUCGAGUUGUGAAGGAAGUGUGCAACAAAUCGAAAGAAGAGUCAUGGUUACAUCAACUCAGCUGGUCACGCUGAUCACUUAUAUAACAUAUCUAUUUCAUAUGGUAUCCUACCUUUCCCUCCGAGUGUUUCAAACUUGAGGGCAAACAUAGUACAACCUGUUCAUGGAAUACAAAGUAGAUUCGUGUCAGCUUGGGAGGAGGUUAUUUUGACAACUUGUCGCGGCCAUGUUUGUUUACGGAUUUGUGUCAAAUAUUGUCAGUGGGUUCAGUAAGGUUUUCAGUUUCGUCAUGUCACGUUUCAUUUUGGUACAUUGUUUGAACAUUUUCGAAGAUUACUACACAAGCUCACGUCCUUAGGUGCCUUUGAUUUAUUAUUAUCAUUUAAAAAUCAUCUUCUCACAUGAGGCUCAUUUCUGGCAUAAUAGCUCCGUCAACAAACAAAAUAGUCGCAUUGAGGUGAGUCAUAUCCUUCUGUUGUCCAAGAAAUGCAACUGCAUUCCCAAAAAUCUAACUUUUUUUGCGAAAUGUGGUAUGGCCGAAUUAUAGGGCCUUAUUUUGGUUGAAAUGUGGCGGAAAUGUCUCUAUCGUCAAAAACCAACAUUAUAACACGAUGUUGAGCGAUUUUUUCCCCAGAUUUGGCGGCUGGUUAAUGUCGAGAAAUAGUUCAGUCAAAAUCUUGCGAUUUAACGCCUCUAUAUAAAUUUCUCUGGGCGUAUGUUAAAUCUAAGGUUUACGCCAAACAAUCAGCAACGGUCGAGGAGCUCGCAAGCAACGCUGCACCGGGCCAUCGAAAAUUUACGUAAACGGGUGCAGAUAUGCAAACGUAACAUUGGUGGCAUUUGACCGAUAUUUUGUAAAAAUCGUAAAUGUUAUGAAUUUAUAUGCAAUUAAAAAGAAGAACCUAUUUUCACCGAAUUUAAGUGUUUUAUUUCAGUUUAACAUGACGUCGUUCUUGUUGAUAGACCUUUUACAUGAGAUCAGAUAUGAAUAACAUAUAUAACUGCCACAAAAAAAUAGAUGUGUUUCAAAAAAAUAAUAAUUAAUGAGAGUACACCAACGUAAACAAAAAUAAUCACAAAGAUCGUGUGUGCCAGUGUUAUCUCUGUAAUGUAGAACCUCAAGUGAAGCAAAUUUAGUUCAGACUUGAAGGCCUCUGUGCACAGUUAAAAUUUAUUUUUCGCCGCUCAUUUGGAAAAAAAACAACAGACAUGAAGCUUAUAUACGUAUUAAUCUUAUAGAUUUAUCUCAUAAUGGCAGCAGAAGGAAAGGUUCUAAAUGCUCAUAACACUACCUUGAGAAAUUAUGCUGUUUUUGUAUCCACACCAAAAUGUAAAAGUUAUGAUCAUCGUGGACAAUGUAUUGGUGGAAGCUCGAAAUAAAAGGAUGUUUAAAAAUGUAUAGGAAAAUUAAAAUUAACACACAUCUUUAUAAUCAAUAAUCACUUCGUUGGAAUUUAGAACUACGAACAAAAAUUAUAUAUGUACAUAAAUAUAAAAUUACAAUAGUUAUUAGACGUUUUCAAAUAAGGAAAAAAUAAAUGUAGUCCUUAAUAAAAUUGAGUGAUGCUAUAGUUAUAUUAUUUAGAUCUUUAUUCAAACAAUACAUUCUAAACUUAUCCUUUAAUUAUAAAAUAAUAUCGUAGUCUACACGAAAUUUUCAUGGGCAAAACUGGAGGCGUUCUACAUGAUGCUGGACGAAAAAUUGUCGAUAUUUCAAAACAAAGGAUUACCUAUAUAUUUAUGAAAUUACUGAAAAAGGAAUGCAAGAGGUGAGCAUGGUUAUUAUGGAUAUUCUAGCUCGACAUCGUCUAAUGGCCAUAAGUGACAAAUAUUCUCCUUUAACUCAGAGAUACUUUAAGUUUGGAAGAAGAUUUCUAAUAAGAGAUUCCACGAUGAUUAGCAAUUUAAAUACAUACGACACAGAAAUUCUCAUAAGAAGAUUAUGCUAGUUAAAGCGAUAUUUUCUAGGAACGAAAACUUGAAACUGCUCUCAGCUUCCGGUCAACAUUUUUUAAUUAAAGAUGACGCACUUUCUCAACAAAUUCUUUAUACCUACUCAAAGACGAAUUUAAUCUUGCUUAUUAUGUACAUACAUAUAUAUAAUAGUAUAUGAAUUUAUCUUCGAAUUUCGAAGUUGAGUCUAUUGAAAGCAUAAUUACGCAGGAGUUCCAUUUAAUACAUUAUGGAUGUUUAAGCAAAUAUAUAUGGGAAAUUACGAUUUCAAAUCGAAAAUAUUUAUAAUAUAAUAAUAUUAUAGCAUUUUCAUCACUUUUGAUUUACUCGCCGCGGGAAUUAAGAACCUCUACAGAAAACUGGUUUGUAUUAUGUAAUGACAAGAAAGCUGUGAAUGAUGUAUGUAUGUAUAUAAAGACUUUUUGAAAUAUAUUAAUUAUUAUAAAAGUAAAAUAAAUAGGUAAAAAUAUAAAAAGUAAACAAGUAAAAAUUAGUGUAGGAAUUUAUGUAUUCCAAAGAUAGCCGAAAAUAUUCAUGGUAUAGGGAAAGGGGAAUCAUUUCACUCCAAAUGUAACGCGUGUGGGUCGCGGGCAGUAAUGAAAAAAUCAAAAUCACUGGAUCGAUUUUAAUAACUUUUUCGGUGAGUGACAUAGGCAAUAUAUUUUAUACCGGCCGAGGCCGGACGAGUAGCGGGCCGCAAGUUUUUACGAGGGCUGUCCGAUAAAUAACCGACCUCAACGUGAAACUAGCGGCACAUCUGAAAAAAAAAAGUUUCUACUUCAAAUUGCGCAUAUUAUAAUAGCUACUCGCCAAAAUUUCAGAAAUUUAUCUUGCGCAAUUAUCUGUUGACAGUCGUUUUUGUGAGUCUAUUUCGGUGAUUUCCCCAAAAUGGAAAAAAUUGAAUAUCGAGCUGUAAUUAAAUUUUUGUUUUUGAAUGGCAAUACGCCUUCACAAAUCAAAGAUGAGUUGGACUCUGUGUAUGGUGACUCGCAACAUCGUUUACCACCGUAAAAUUUUGGACAGCUGAAUUUAAACGUGGUCGCAGGAGCUUAGAAGAUGAUGAACGUCCUGGGCGUCCAAAAACUGUAACCACUAACGAUAACAUCGCCAAAGUUCAUCAAUUUGUACUAGACGACCGCCGAAUUAAAGUUAGGGAAAUAGCUGAGAUUAUGAAGAUGUCAAAAGAAACUGUUUGUCACAUAUUAAAUCAAGAUUUGGGCAUGAGAAAGCUGUCCGCGCGUUGGGUGCCGCGUUUGCUUACGCUAGACCACAAACGUGCGCGCAUGAACAUUUCCAGCGCUCUGUUGGCUCAGUUUGGAGGCAAUAAGACCGAGUUUUGGCGCCGAUUGAUAACUGUAGACGAAACUUGGAUUCAUCAUUAUACGCCCGAAACAAAAAACCAAGCCCCAAAAAAAAACCUAAAGCUGUGUAUUCGGCUGGGAAAGUGAUGGCGAGUGUUUUUUGGGACAGCCACGAAUUGCGGUUCGAACUGCUUGACCAUCCACCUUAUUCACCGGAUCUAGCACCAAGCGACUUUUUUUUGUUUCCUCAACUUAAAACUGCGCUCGGCGGCCAGAGAUUUUCGUCAAAUGAGGAGGCAAUCUCUUUCGUGAACUCUUAUUUUGCAGACAAAGACGCCAAGUACUAUUUGGAAGGGUUGCAGAGAUGGAAGCAUCGCUGGGAGAAGUGUGUGGAGUUACAAGGAGACUAUGUAGAAAAAUAAAAAAAAAAAUUUUGAAAAAGUC
Molecule: long non-coding RNA, 4763 nt
Organism: Bactrocera dorsalis (oriental fruit fly)
Lineage: Eukaryota; Metazoa; Arthropoda; Insecta; Diptera; Tephritidae
Exons: 2
Source: RefSeq, a predicted model, not a curated record